AUUAGCGAAAAACUAAAAAACGACACGCCAUCAAGGGUUGCAAACAAAAAUUCACUCAGAUGUCCUUUCACUCUCUUCGGUAGACAAAAAAACCCCACAGAAAUGCCCAAAUUUACAACAUUAAACCCUAACCGCCACAACCACCACCAUCACCACCACAACAACACUUGGCUUACUCAUACAAGAAGCACGCGGCAAUGACUACCACCAAUCUCAGAUCCUCUGCGACAAUGUCACACCGUAACAGCCCCGCGCAAGCUCUCCCCUUGGUUGUCACUCUCAACUGCAUCGAGGAUUGCGCCAUCGAGCAAGACUCUCUAGCCGGCAU
Molecule: unclassified non-coding RNA, 328 nt
Filed under: Hevea brasiliensis (rubber tree)
Lineage: Eukaryota; Viridiplantae; Streptophyta; Magnoliopsida; Malpighiales; Euphorbiaceae
Source: RNAcentral